CUGGCUCAGAUUGAACGCUGCGGCGUGCUUAACACAUGCAAGUCGAACGCGAAAGGGACUUCGGUCCUGAGUAAAGUGGCGCACGGGUGAGUAACGCGUGGAUAAUCUGCCCUUAUGAUCGGGAUAACAGUUGGAAACGGCUGCUAAUACCGGAUACGCUCAAAAUGAACUUUUUGAGGAAAGAUGGCCUCUGCUUGCAUGCUAUCACGUAAGGAUGAGUCCGCGUCCCAUUAGCUUGUUGGCGGGGUAACGGCCCACCAAGGCAACGAUGGGUAGCCGAUUUGAGAGGAUGAUCGGCCACACUGGAACUGAAACACGGUCCAGACUCCUACGGGAGGCAGCAGUGGGGAAUAUUGCGCAAUGGGCGAAAGCCUGACGCAGCGACGCCGCGUGAGGGAAUGAAGGUUUUCGGAUCGUAAACCUCUGUCAGAAGGGAAGAAACUACGUUGUGCUAAUCAGCAGCGUACCGACGGUACCUUCAAAGGAAGCACCGGCUAACUCCGUGCCAGCCGCUGC
RNAcentral lists this ribosomal RNA (516 nucleotides) under uncultured bacterium. RNAcentral's name for it is "bacterial SSU rRNA". It matches the Rfam family "Bacterial small subunit ribosomal RNA", at positions 19 to 518 of the family's 1533-position model. The record is from RNAcentral.